AGGACGAACGCUGGCGGCGCGCUUAACACAUGCAAGUCGAGCGAGAACCAGUCCUUCGGGACUGGGGACAGCGGCGAACGGGUGAGUAACACGUGGGUAAUCUGCCCUCGAUUCUGGGAUAGCCCGGGGAAACCCGGAUUAAUACCGGAUAGCCUCUCGAGCUUACGAGCUCGUGAGAAAAGGUAGCUUCGGCCUCCGAUCGAGGAUGAGCCCGCGGCGGAUUAGCUUGUUGGUGGGGUAAUGGCCUACCAAGGCGACGAUCCGUAGCUGGUCUGAGAGGACGAUCAGCCACACUGGGACUGAGACACGGCCCAGACUCCGUACGGGAGCAGCAGGUGGGAAUCUUGCGCAAGUGGGACGAAAGCCUGACGCAGCGACGCCGCGGUGGGGGAAGAAGGCCGUUCGGGUUAGUAAACCGUUCUUACGAGCGAGGGAACGAACGCCGAACGUUACGGGUUAAAUACGACCCGAAGG
RNAcentral lists this ribosomal RNA (474 nucleotides) under uncultured soil bacterium. RNAcentral describes it as "bacterial SSU rRNA". It matches the Rfam family "Bacterial small subunit ribosomal RNA", at positions 26 to 491 of the family's 1533-position model. The record is from RNAcentral.